Molecule: long non-coding RNA, 1376 nt
Filed under: Cyanistes caeruleus (blue tit)
Lineage: Eukaryota; Metazoa; Chordata; Aves; Passeriformes; Paridae
Description: lncRNA (ENSCCEG00000009252.1)
Source: RNAcentral
AUGAAACAUUCCUCUGCAUCAGCACCACUUCUUUUGCCUUACCCUUACCUUGCGCCUUUGGGCUCCUCAACCUUUAAAUGGGUGAAGAAAACAGCAGCAGUGUCUCGGCAGUGUCCUUGCUGGGGAGCUUGGCUGAGAGAAAGAGUCGCUACCGAGGGACCCCCGGCAGCUGUCGGGGGAGGAGGGGUGGGUGCGGAGGGGUAUGCGAUGCUGAUGGAGGAGAAGCCUUCGGCCAUUCCUGAGCGGGGAGGAGCCGCUUCCCGCUGGGGAGGAGAGGCCGUGUGUGGGGCGGGAGGGGUGAGGGAAGCGGCCGUGGGCUCCUCCCCUGGCCUCCGUCCCUUCGCCGCCGCGUUGCACAGGUUUAUGAUUGCCACACUUGCUGCUGCUUCUCAUAUCGCUUCAAUCCCCAUCAACAUUUCAUUUGUUGACCCUGAAGGGGUAAGACCCUGUCUUACCUUUCUUCUUGGUGAGUAAGUGGUUUUGCCAUUUUGGGAGUUGGCUGUGACACAGAACAGUUAUGCUGGGGAUUUGCCAGAUCUCAGCCCUUGGAGAGCCCAACUCUUAAUGCAGUUAUCUGCAUCCAUGCAGGCCAGCAACCGUAAGUUUGGACCUAUUGGGAAAUCCGAGGAGCUAAGCUGGUUUGCCCUGCUGGUUUGAGUGUAGAUAGUUAGUAUCACUAAAAUACAGUAGCAAUACUGUAGAACACAGUAGCUUCUCCAGCAUCCAGCAGGAGAAGCUUCACUGAUGCAGACAGCAGCUUCUGAUAAAGAAAACGCAUAGAAGUGUGAUUGUUCCAGUAGCAGGUCACUCAGAAUAAUCUGUGAGCUGGCAGGGCUCAGUUAUAGCUUGACAGGGGAGUGCUGGGGAGCAUUUGAAAAAGUUCCCCUUCACUGCAGAUGUCUUGGGAAAGUGUGAGAAUUUUGUAGUGGCAGAGUUGGCACAUUUACAGAAUUGUUGAGGGGUUUUGACUUUUGAUUUUGUUAAUAUGACUGUAAUCAGAAUCUAAGAAUAUUCUUCCAGAUACCCCUUGAUCUGCUGAAACAACAGUAUGUUUUGACUGUUACUGGGGGCUGUCAGUCGUUUGUGUUGAUCAUGCAGAUUCUCAUUGUUUGUGUGGAGGUGAUUCAGUUGUGAUCUUGGCAAAAAAUUAGCUUCCUGCAUGGGAAAUCAUAUGUGCAAGUUUGUACCUAAAUAGUACCUAAAUGAACUUACCUUUGAAUUGUAAUUACAAUAUAACUUCAGGCCUACUAUAUGGUAGGCACAUUAACUACAAUUACAAGAAGCCCUGCAGUAGAGAGCAAUCUGAUCCUGACUCCUCUUGCUUAAUGCCUUGUGGAGAAAAAUAGGAAUAAAUGGACAUCUAAAAAGAGCUCCCA